CGGACGGGUGAGUAACGCGUAGGAAUCUACCCAGUAGUGGGGGACAACAGUCGGAAACGGCUGCUAAUACCGCAUACGCCCUAUGGGGGAAAGCGGGGGAUCUUCGGACCUCGCGCUAUUGGAUGAGCCUGCGUAGGAUUAGCUUGUUGGUGAGGUAAAGGCUCACCAAGGCGACGAUCCUUAGCUGGUCUGAGAGGAUGAUCAGCCACACUGGAACUGAGACACGGUCCAG
This 232-nucleotide ribosomal RNA is filed under the name uncultured bacterium. RNAcentral's name for it is "partial 16S ribosomal RNA". It matches the Rfam family "Bacterial small subunit ribosomal RNA", at positions 99 to 334 of the family's 1533-position model. The record is from RNAcentral.